GCCGCAAUGUAAGACAUUUUACUUUUACGUGUCCAAUCGAUUUUUCACAAUUUCAGAAAACUGGCAACUUCGGACGUUAGCCAACUCUAUUGCGAAGAAAGGGGCAAAAAGUUUAAACGAGGCAUGGUGUAUUAGUAUGGUGGGGGAACUUUUGUUGGAAUCGGCCAUCUCGAAUGAAGCCAGUUUCCGGACAAGAGGCGGAGCUUAGUGCAAAAGUCGAAAUUCUUAACAGCCAAUUGCAGGUCUGGUCACACCUUCUCUGGUGCCCUCUAUGAACCAAGAUACUAAUUUCUUUUAAAAAUUUUAAUUUUUUGUUCACGUUCGUUCGAAGACGUCCAUUUAAUGUUCGAAUACGAUGUAACCGUUUGAUCAUGGUUUGAUCGUUUGAUUGAUGAGUAGUGUAAAAUUUAUCCAAAAAUGGUAAAACGGUGCUUCAUUGAAGAUUGUUAUACUGGAAAAGACAAAGAAAAUGGCCCAGCCAUAUUCUUUAAAGUACCCAAACAUCGUCUAGAGGAAUGGAGAGACUCGUCACGCUUGUGUUGGCGUCAUUUUGAUGAAGAAGACAUCAUAAAGGGUAAAUUUAUUCUAGGCCAAUUACAUCCACAACAAUGGCGACUGAGAGAAGGAGCUACACCAAAGCAUGUGUUAGGGCCUCGCAACAUAUUUUUUUCAGGGCCUACAAGACAAUAGAACAACAGACGCCCAGCAUUGGAAGAUUUGCCUCUAAAUGGUCCUGUGAAGAAGAAGAAACUGCAGCCAAGAUGCAAAACAAUUACGUCAAUUUUGAGGACACCUAUUUCCAGCAUAGUUCAAAAUCAGUUAACUACUAUUCACCGCACAGAUUGUAGGAACAGUUCCCAACCUAUAACUAAAUCGCUUUGCACAAAUGCUCUCUCAGAUUCUGGUUCCAGCCAUGUGAUGUUUGAUGAGGACACUAUAAUGGAUUCAGUUCCUGUGCCUGUCACUUCUGCUCUUCCUGAUCCUGGCCCAAGCCAAGCCACUGUUGAAGACGACAUUAUCAUGGAUUCAGUUCCUGUGCCUGUCACUUCUACUCUUCCUGGUAUUUCAAAACACUAUACAGUGUCUCAAACUGUUGUUAUAUUUUAUGUUAGUAGUUGUUAUAAGUUUCAAACUCGGAACUACAGCGCAUGUAAAUACAAAGUAAUCUCAAUUAAA
Long non-coding RNA from Daphnia pulex (common water flea), 1176 nucleotides. RefSeq lists it as uncharacterized. The transcript is spliced from 4 exons. The record is from RefSeq and is a predicted model, not a curated record. NCBI's taxonomy places the organism in Eukaryota, Metazoa, Arthropoda, Branchiopoda, Diplostraca, Daphniidae.